CUGAUGUCAUAGUGUAAGAACUAACUAAUACAACUCAAAGUCAAAAUACAUAAGAUAUCCGAAAAGGACAAACUCUAUCUCUGAAUACAAAUCAAUACAAAGUCUAGAUGAGAAAAGGUAGUAGCCAACUCUGACUACAUAGAUCAACUACUACCUCAAAUGGGCUCAAAGUAUCGCCUAAAUCAGCUAUCGUGAGGUGCACUCAUACCUGGAUCU
This 216-nucleotide long non-coding RNA is filed under the name Capsicum annuum. RNAcentral's name for it is "long non-coding RNA (CANN_LNC016051)". The record is from RNAcentral. Lineage: Eukaryota; Viridiplantae; Streptophyta; Magnoliopsida; Solanales; Solanaceae.